UGUCCACACAUUGGAUUACUCGGAGGGACACAUUGGAGGGCUUCCUGCAAUGCCCAGGUGUAAAUAAGAGUGGGCGAUUCAGAGCUGCAUUCGUGAUGUGCUCAUAUACAAUUAUUGUCAACAGGUGCAAUAGGAAAAUUUGCAAAUCGAGUAUUUUGCAUGGAUAGCUGCUCGGAUGGCUUGGCGAUGCCCCGUCUAUGGUUCAAGUUCAGUGAUGACCGCGAUGCAUGGGGUCACCCCCUCCUUAUGAUGUAUCCACCAAGGAGUGAUUCUGGUCGUUGUCUGAUGGCAUUCGUGACCUUUCCACCUUUGAAGAACUUCAACUGAAUAACAGGUGACCAAAACGGUAUAUCAUGAAGAGGGUCUAAUCGCACGUCUCCAUUGCCUCAGAGGUCGAAAUCAAUCUUGAACUCUCGCGGUUACUAAUUUAUUAGACACGGUUCAUGUUGGAGUAAAAGAGGAAAUUUGAUGAGCAGUCAUGGUGUGAGCUCACCCAUCGAUAAAACGAUGGCUUUGAUAGUUUAAUGCAAUAACCUGCAUUCCCUAUUGGGUUUCGCUCGCCAUUUCCAAUAAGAACACACUUUGGUGAGCCAAGUGGACCACACCCCCUUGUGAUCGAGUCAUGAGAGGCACUCAGGAAAUCUGUAGUGUAUUUUCGUGGCCAACCAGUUGGUACAGUUGUUGCGGUAGAUC
Lolium rigidum is the source of this 693-nucleotide long non-coding RNA. RefSeq lists it as uncharacterized. Lineage: Eukaryota; Viridiplantae; Streptophyta; Magnoliopsida; Poales; Poaceae. The transcript is spliced from 3 exons. The record is from RefSeq and is a predicted model, not a curated record.